AUUAUUUAUAGUGAGAAGGAGAUGAAAAGCAAGAACGAUAGGAUAGAAUACGACGUGAGGAAGAAGAGGGUCAUAGGGUCGUAAGAGUCAAGAAUCAUUGCCAAUCGAACGAUCGGUGGAGUAAAAGGGGAUGAAAGACUGGAAAUUAGGUUUGGGGGAAACGCUAGAGGAAAACCUACCGUGAAGUCUUCUACCUCAGCGUAAGGUCACAGCUUGGCAGCCAAGCUUCACCACGAUAUCGUUGGUCGAUUUGUAACGGGGAAGGCCUGACGUCGCCGAAGGAGAAGUGACCAAAGGCGAAGCAAGGUGAAUCGUCCAAUGUUUCAGAGCUAAGAGAGAUGCGAGAGUGUUUUCGUUCUUGAAAAAAGCCCUAGCUAAAAUGGUCACAACGAUUUUGUGGAAUUUAGUAUUUGGUGAUGUUUUAGGAUUUUGUUGUGCAAGAAAAUAGGAUUGGUUAUGAUAUUAGGGUUUUUUGGGUAUUGAUCAGUGAGGAGAGGGAAGAACAAUGGAAAUAAUGUAGAGGAUGA
This 527-nucleotide long non-coding RNA is filed under the name Lactuca sativa (garden lettuce). RNAcentral's name for it is "long non-coding RNA (LSAT_LNC004119)". Lineage: Eukaryota; Viridiplantae; Streptophyta; Magnoliopsida; Asterales; Asteraceae. The record is from RNAcentral.